GAUGAACGCUGGCGGCGUGCCUAAUACAUGCAAGUCGAGCGAACGGACGAGAAGCUUGCUUCUCUGAUGUUAGCGGCGGACGGGUGAGUAACACGUGGAUAACCUACCUAUAAGACUGGGAUAACUUCGGGAAACCGGACCUAAUACCGGAUAAUAUUUUGAACCGCAUGGUUCAAAAGUUAAAGACGGUCUUGCUGUCACUUAUAGAUGGAUCCGCGCUGCAUUAGCUAGUUGUUAAGGUAACGGCUUACCAAGGCAACGAUGCAUAGCCGACCUGAGAGGGUGAUCGGCCACACUAGAACUGAGACACGGUCCAGACUCCUACGGGAGGCAGCAGUAGGGAAUCUUCCGCAAUGGGCGAAAGCCUGACGGAGCAACGCCGCGUGAGUGAUGAAGGUCUUCGGAUCGUAAAACUCUGUUAUUAGGGAAGAACAUAUGUGUAAGUAACUGUGCACAUCUUGACGGUACCUAAUCAGAAAGCCACGGCUAACUACGUG
RNAcentral lists this ribosomal RNA (497 nucleotides) under uncultured bacterium. RNAcentral describes it as "partial 16S ribosomal RNA". It matches the Rfam family "Bacterial small subunit ribosomal RNA", at positions 28 to 507 of the family's 1533-position model. The record is from RNAcentral.